CUACGGGUUGCUGCAGCGGGGAAUAUUGGGCAAUGGGCGCAAGCCUGACCCAGCAACGCCGCGUGAGGGAAGAAGGUUUUCGGAUUGUAAACCUCUGUCCUUGGGGACGAAGAAGUGACGGUACCCAAGGAGGAAGCUCCGGCUAACUACGUGCCAGCAGCCGCGGUAAUACGUAGGGAGCAAGCGUUGUCCGGAAUUACUGGGCGUAAAGGGUGCGUAGGCGGCAUAUUAAGUCAGGUGUGAAAUACUCGGGCUCAACCCGGGGGCUGCAUUUGAAACUGAUAUGCUUGAGUGUGAGAGAGGAAAGUGGAAUUCCUAGUGUAGCGGUGGAAUGCGUAGAUAUUAGGAGGAACACCAGUGGCGAAGGCGACUUUCUGGCUCAUAACUGACGCUGAGGCACGAAAGCGUGGGGAGCAAACAGGAUUAGAUACCCUGGUAGUC
This 441-nucleotide ribosomal RNA is filed under the name uncultured bacterium. RNAcentral describes it as "partial 16S ribosomal RNA". It matches the Rfam family "Bacterial small subunit ribosomal RNA", at positions 339 to 795 of the family's 1533-position model. The record is from RNAcentral.